AGAAACAACAGGGAUUGCCUUAGUAACGGCGAGUGAAGCGGCAAAAGCUCAAAUUUGAAAUCUGGCACCUUCGGUGUCCGAGUUGUAAUUUGAAGAAGGUAACUUUGGAGUUGGCUCUUGUCUAUGUUCCUUGGAACAGGACGUCACAGAGGGUGAGAAUCCCGUGCGAUGAGAUGCCCAAUUCUAUGUAAAGUGCUUUCGAAGAGUCGAGUUGUUUGGGAAUGCAGCUCUAAGUGGGUGGUAAAUUCCAUCUAAAGCUAAAUAUUGGCGAGAGACCGAUAGCGAACAAGUACAGUGAUGGAAAGAUGAAAAGAACUUUGAAAAGAGAGUGAAAAAGUACGUGAAAUUGUUGAAAGGGAAGGGCUUGAGAUCAGACUUGGUAUUUUGCGAUCCUUUCCUUUUUGGUUGGGUUCUCCGCAGCUUACUGGGCCAGCAUCGGUUUGGACGGUAGGAUAAUGAUUAAGGAAUGUGGCUCUGCUUCGGUGGAGUGUUAUAGCCUUGGUUGAUGCUGCCUGUCUAGACCGAGGACUGCGUCUUUUGACUAGGAUGUUGGCAUAAU
This 559-nucleotide ribosomal RNA is filed under the name Debaryomyces maramus. RNAcentral describes it as "LSU rRNA". It matches the Rfam family "Eukaryotic large subunit ribosomal RNA", at positions 56 to 635 of the family's 3401-position model. The record is from RNAcentral. Lineage: Eukaryota; Fungi; Ascomycota; Pichiomycetes; Serinales; Debaryomycetaceae.